Molecule: non-coding RNA, 29 nt
Filed under: Rattus norvegicus (Norway rat)
Lineage: Eukaryota; Metazoa; Chordata; Mammalia; Rodentia; Muridae
Source: RNAcentral
UAAGAAUUUGUUCUAUAGCUCUUGUGAUA